Molecule: ribosomal RNA, 239 nt
Filed under: uncultured bacterium
Lineage: Bacteria
Description: partial 16S ribosomal RNA
Rfam family: Bacterial small subunit ribosomal RNA
Source: RNAcentral
UAGUAUGGGGGAGCGGCGAACGGGUGAGUAACACGUUGGAACCUGCCCCAGACUCAGGGAUAACCUACCGAAAGGUGGGCUAAUACCGGAUGGUCUCGUAAGAGUAAAGCUUUUGCGGUCUGGGAGGGGCCUGCGCAGUAUCAGCUUGUUGGUAGUGUAAUAGACUACCAAGGCUACGACGCUUAACUGGUCUGAGAGGAUGAUCAGUCACAAUGGAACUGAGACACGGUCCAUACUCC